UCACACUUCCACUUUCAUCACGUCUCGUCUGUUUGUUCUUUUACAAACAGACACACACACACACACACACACACACACACACCAAACACUCAACACACACAUCAACAGCUGCACACACAUUUAUAGAGCCACAAAAAGCAGGACACGCCAAACGAUAUUUUUACCUCACUCAAAGCUUUGCGACUUAUUACAGCGCCAGAUGAAGGCAGGAUUCUGUCCACUCAUCUGGUCUGAAUUCAGCCAAUAGUGGAGAUGAUGUUGAUUUUAUUGACGGGAUAGAAUCUACUCAUGAUAUUGUUGAUGAUGAGGAGGAGGAAGAACAGACUUCCUGCUCCCCUGAGCAGUGCUCUGGAGAGAGGCAGAGGGAGAGGAAGAGGAAGGAGUCAGCCUUUAGGAAACAGGAGCUGCAGCAGUCGUUCCACUGGCAGGCAGGCAAGGAGGAAAGGUGGAAUCGGGAUGAUGCAGUCACAGUUGAGGAGAUCAUAAAGAUGAAGGCUGAUUGUGCUGAACAAAGAGUGCACAUAUCUUAAGAUUUAUGAAGACUGUGCAAGUGUGUUUGUACAAGAUAAUGGGGUACAGGAUCUGUGUCACAUUGCUACUGUUGUUCCCCACCCUUUAAGAGCAGAAACAUUUAUGUAACUAGGGACCACCCUAAAUAUAAUAAAAAGAGGUGUUGGAGGGAUGUGUUUUCAGAGCAGUAGGAGAUUUGUAACUGAAAGCACAUCUCUGUCCAUUCUCCUUGCAGCGAGUACAAACAAAUUCUCUUGUCUUUCUCUUCUUUUUGUGAUGUUAUUAGUAUUUUAGGUUAAUUGAACCUGACAUUUUUGGUCAUUCGAAGCCGGAUACCAAUACGCCUGAGGAUUCCAGCGGGUUGUUGGAAUCCAGUAAAGACCAUGCGUAUGGCAGUCUUAAUCAGGGAGACUCUCAGACCCGUUCUGGGACUGGACCUCAGCCCCAGAACGGGUCUGACGGCUGACGGAACUCCGAGACAGAGAGGAAAGACAAGUGGUGAGUUGAGUUUGGAUUAAAAAGUGUGAUGAAUGACUGGGGGUCAUUGCGUGAUGUAAAACCCUGUGUAUCAUAGGCCCUAACAGGUAAAAGUAGGACAGUGGAGUCCUGAAACGUAUUAAGAAGUAAUACUGAAAAUUCCGUGUUUAAAAAGUGGACGGCACAGUCCUAAAACGUAUUAAGAAGUAAUACUGAAAAUUCCGUGUUUAAAAAGUGGACGGCACAGUCCUAAAACGUAUUAAGAAGUAAUACUGAAAAUUCCGUGUUUAAAGGACGGCGGAGUCCUGAUAAGUAUUUAAACAAAAAAACUAAGAAAAUUCCGCGUUUAAAAAAAAAAAAAAAGGUGUGAAUGUGAGAAAUGAAUUAAGGAUUUAAACCGCUAGGUUUGCCUCAUACCAAAGCAGUAGGAUUGUAAGUGACUAACUUUUGUGGAUGCAAAGGCAAGAAUUCUCCACUCGAAACAGUUGAAGUGAGAAUUACCACAAAAGGAGA
Molecule: long non-coding RNA, 1500 nt
Organism: Girardinichthys multiradiatus
Lineage: Eukaryota; Metazoa; Chordata; Actinopteri; Cyprinodontiformes; Goodeidae
Exons: 3
Source: RefSeq, a predicted model, not a curated record